RNAcentral lists this ribosomal RNA (534 nucleotides) under Pteroptyx tener. Its description in RNAcentral is "partial large subunit ribosomal RNA". It matches the Rfam family "Bacterial large subunit ribosomal RNA", at positions 1844 to 2642 of the family's 2925-position model. The record is from RNAcentral. Lineage: Eukaryota; Metazoa; Arthropoda; Insecta; Coleoptera; Lampyridae.
AAUUUAAGGUUUAAUCUGCUCAAUGAUUAUUUAAAUUGCCGCAGUAUUUUGACUGUGCAAAGGUAGCAUAAUAAUUAGUUUCUUUAUUGGGAACUGGAAUGAAUGAUUGGACGAGAAAAUUUCUGUCUCUUUAUUAUUUUAAUUGAAUUUUACUUUUAAGUUAAAAGGCUUAAAUUUUAUUAGAGGACGAGAAGACCCUAUAGAGUUUAAUUUUUAUUUAAAUAAUUAUUUUUAGUAUUUAUAUAUAUUAUUUAAAUAAAAAUUUAGUUGGGGUGACUAAAAGAUAAGAAUAACUCUUUUAAUUUUUAUCAAUUAUUUUUGAUUAUAAAAUCUUUAUUUUUAAUUUUAAAAUAAAUUACCUUAGGGAUAACAGCGUAAUUCUUUUUUAAAGUUCUUAUUAAAAGAAGAGUUUGCGACCUCGAUGUUGGAUUAAAAUUAAUUUUAGGUGUAGAAGCUUGAAAAUUAAGUCUGUUCGACUUUUAAAAUUUUACAUGAUCUGAGUUUAAACCGGUGUGAGCCAGGUUGGUUUCUAUC